RNAcentral lists this ribosomal RNA (499 nucleotides) under uncultured bacterium. RNAcentral's name for it is "bacterial SSU rRNA". It matches the Rfam family "Bacterial small subunit ribosomal RNA", at positions 29 to 527 of the family's 1533-position model. The record is from RNAcentral.
AUUAAACGCUGGCGGCAUGCCUUACACAUGCAAGUCGAACGGCAGCACGGGGGCAACCCUGGUGGCGAGUGGCGAACGGGUGAGUAAAGCAUCGGAACGUGCCCUGGAGUGGGGGAUAACGUAGCGAAAGUUACGCUAAUACCGCAUAUUCUGUGAGCAGGAAAGCAGGGGAUCGCAAGACCUUGCGCUCUGGGAGCGGCCGAUGUCGGAUUAGCUAGUUGGUGGGGUAAAGGCCUACCAAGGCGACGAUCCGUAGCGGGUCUGAGAGGAUGAUCCGCCACACUGGGACUGAGACACGGCCCAGACUCCUACGGGAGGCAGCAGUGGGGAAUUUUGGACAAUGGGCGAAAGCCUGAUCCAGCCAUGCCGCGUGAGUGAAGAAGGCCUCGGUGUAAGCUCUUCGUGGGUAGAAUUAGUCAUGGCUAUACCCUGUCGUAGAUGACGGUACCUCGGUAGAAGAAGCACCGGCUAACUACGUAGCCAGCAGCCGCGGUAAACG